CAGUGAGUAGGUCGGCUUUCCGAACGACCCGUCUUGAAACACGGACCAAGGAGUCUAAUUAGGCAUCGAGUCGAUCGGUCUUGAAUAGGCCAGAAUGGGGUGGACUUAAAAAUCCAUUCCGACUGAAGGCGUAGAGAAAUCAAAUCGUGUGAUCGCCGCGGCAAUACCAGCCUAGGCGCGCAACAUGUGCCUGUUCGUAUGGCAACUGUUAGCAAUAACUUGCCGAGCGGAGCAAAGAGAUGCCUGAUUGGUACCCGAAAGAUGGUGAACUAUGCUUGGGCAAAUUGAAGCCAGAGGAAACUCUGGUGGAGGAUUGUAGCGAUUCUGACGUGCAAAUCGAUCGUCAGACCUGAGUAUAGGGGCGAAAGACUAAUCGAACCAUCUAGUAGCUGGUUCCCUCCGAAGUUUCCCUCAGGAUAGCUAGCGCUCGUUGUUAAAUUAGUUUCAUCUGGUAAAGCGAAUGAUUAGAGGAAUUGGGAGCGAAACGCCCUCAACCUAUUCUCAAACUUUAAAUGGGUGAGAUGUGCGACAUGCUUAAGUGAUGCCGCAAAUUGGAAUAAAUUGAGCGCUAAGUGGGCCAUUUUUGGUAAGCAGAACUGGCGAUGCGGGAUGAACCGAAAGCAAAGUUAAAGUUGCCGAUAAUAGUGACGGAAAUUUUAGUCACUCGCUACACUCAUGAGAUCCCAUAAAAGGUGUGACCCGCUGAAGACAGCAAGGAUGUGGCCAUGGAAGUCGGAAUCAUCUAAGGAGUGUGUAACAACUCACUUGCCGAAGCGCGUCGCCCUGAAAAUGGAAGCAGCUCGAGUGUUGAACUUAUACUUUGCCGUUGGAAUAGAGUUUCUAGCUAAAACAAUUAGUAGAUUCCAACGUGUAGGAGGGUUGUGUUGGUGGCGUUGAAGGGUAUGAGGGAGUGAUCCUGCCUGGAGCCGCCAAUAGUACAGAUCUUGGUGGUAGUAGCAAAUACUCAAGUGAGACCCUUGAGGGCCAAUGUGGAGAAGGGUUCCAUGCUAACAGCAAUUGAACAUGGGUCAGUCGGUCCUAAGAGAAUGGCGAAAGCUAUUUCUGAAUCAAAGGCGGUGUUAAAAUGCG
RNAcentral lists this ribosomal RNA (1089 nucleotides) under Candidatus Regiella insecticola. Its description in RNAcentral is "partial 23S ribosomal RNA". It matches the Rfam family "Eukaryotic large subunit ribosomal RNA", at positions 621 to 1596 of the family's 3401-position model. The record is from RNAcentral. Lineage: Bacteria; Pseudomonadati; Pseudomonadota; Gammaproteobacteria; Enterobacterales; Enterobacteriaceae.